Molecule: ribosomal RNA, 478 nt
Filed under: uncultured bacterium
Lineage: Bacteria
Description: partial 16S ribosomal RNA
Rfam family: Bacterial small subunit ribosomal RNA
Source: RNAcentral
AAUCAACGCUGGCGGCGUGCCUAACACAUGCAAGUCGAACGAGAAAGUGGAGCAAUCCAUGAGUACAGUGGCGAACGGGUGAGUAACACGUGACUAACCUACCUUCCAGUGGGGGAUAACCUCGGGAAACCGGGGCUAAGACCGCAUAACCUCGUGAGGUGAGAUUCCUUGCGAGCAAAGGGGUAAGACGCUGGAUGAGGGGGUCGCGGCCGAUUAGCUAGUUGGCGGGGUAACGGCCCACCAAGGCGAUGAUCGGUAGCCGGCCUGAGAGGGCGCCCGGCCACACUGGAACUGAAACACGGUCCAGCCCCCUACGGGAGGCAGCAGUGGGGAAUUUUGCACAAUGGGGGAAACCCUGAUGCAGCAACGCCGCGUGGAGGAUGAAGUCCCUUGGGACGUAAACUCCUUUCGACCGGGACGAUAAUGACGGUACCGGUGGAAGAAGCCCCGGCUAACUCCGUGCCAGCCGCCGCGGUAA